Long non-coding RNA from Maniola jurtina (meadow brown), 189 nucleotides. RefSeq lists it as uncharacterized. Lineage: Eukaryota; Metazoa; Arthropoda; Insecta; Lepidoptera; Nymphalidae. The record is from RefSeq and is a predicted model, not a curated record. The transcript is spliced from 3 exons.
ACAUGUAUAAUUAUACUAGCUUCAACCCGCGGCUUCGUCCGCGUGGACUACACAAUUUUUAAACCCCUAUCUUACUCCCUUAGUGGUUGAAUUUUCAAAGAUCCUUUCGUAGCAGAUGCCUACAUCAUAAUAACAAUCUGCAUGCCAAAUUUCAGCCCGAUCCGUCCGGUAGUUUGAGCUGUUGAUGGA